CAGCAGCCGCGGUAAUACGUAGGCAGCGAGCGUUGUUCGGAAUUACUGGGCGUAAAGAGUGUGUAGGCGGUGCUCUAAGUCUGGUGUGAAAUCUCCCGGCUCAACUGGGAGGGUGCGCCGGAAACUGGAGUGCUCGAGUAUGGGAGAGGUAAGCGGAAUUCCUGGUGUAGCGGUGAAAUGCGUAGAUAUCAGGAGGAACACCUGUGGUGUAGACAGCUUACUGGACCAUCACUGACGCUGAGACACGAAAGCGUGGGUAGCAAACAGGAUUAGAUACCCUGGUAGUCCACGCCCUAAACGAUGCAUACUUGGUGUGAGCGAUUCAUUUCGUUCGUGCCGGAGCUAACGCGUUAAGUAUGCCGCCUGGGGAGUACGGUCGCAAGGCUGAAACUCAAAUGAAUUG
RNAcentral lists this ribosomal RNA (403 nucleotides) under uncultured soil bacterium. RNAcentral describes it as "bacterial SSU rRNA". It matches the Rfam family "Bacterial small subunit ribosomal RNA", at positions 509 to 912 of the family's 1533-position model. The record is from RNAcentral.